RNAcentral lists this ribosomal RNA (253 nucleotides) under uncultured Lachnospiraceae bacterium. Its description in RNAcentral is "partial 16S ribosomal RNA". It matches the Rfam family "Bacterial small subunit ribosomal RNA", at positions 524 to 776 of the family's 1533-position model. The record is from RNAcentral. Lineage: Bacteria; Bacillati; Bacillota; Clostridia; Lachnospirales; Lachnospiraceae.
UACGUAUGGAGCAAGCGUUAUCCGGAUUUACUGGGCGUAAAGGGAGCGUAGGCGGCCUGCCAAGUCUGAUGUGAAAUACCGGGGCUCAACCCCGGGGCUGCAUUGGAAACUGGCAGGCUGGAGUGCCGGAGAGGCAGGCGGAAUUCGUGGUGUAGCGGUGAAAUGCUUAGAUAUCACGAAGAACUCCGAUUGCGAAGGCAGCCUGCUGGACUGUAACUGACGCUGAUGCUCGAAAGUGUGGGUAUCAAACAGG